UGAGGAAUAUUGGGCAAUGCCCGCAAGGGUGACCCAGCAACGCCGCGUGGAGGAUGAAUGUCGUAAGAUUGUAAACUCCUGUUAGAGGCGUUAGACGGUACCGGGAAAGUAAGGGUCGGCUAACUAUGUGCCAGCAGCCGCGGUAAUACGUAGGGGGCAAGCGUUGUCCGGAUUUACUGGGUGUAAAGGGCGCGCAGGCGGGAUAAAAAGUCAGUGGUGAAAUCCUACAGCUUAACUGUAGAACUGCCUUUGAUACUUUUAUUCUUGAGUUCGGGAGAGAGAGACGGAAUUCCAGGUGUAGUGGUGAAAUACGUAGAUAUCUGGAAGAACACCAGUUGCGAAGGCGGUCUCUUGGUCCGACACUGACGCUGAGGCGCGAAAGCGUGGGGAGCAAACA
RNAcentral lists this ribosomal RNA (397 nucleotides) under uncultured bacterium. Its description in RNAcentral is "bacterial SSU rRNA". It matches the Rfam family "Bacterial small subunit ribosomal RNA", at positions 355 to 774 of the family's 1533-position model. The record is from RNAcentral.